RNAcentral lists this ribosomal RNA (297 nucleotides) under uncultured bacterium. Its description in RNAcentral is "partial 16S ribosomal RNA". It matches the Rfam family "Bacterial small subunit ribosomal RNA", at positions 29 to 334 of the family's 1533-position model. The record is from RNAcentral.
AAUGAACGCUGGCGGCGUGCUUAACACAUGCAAGUCGAACGAGACUUGCUCUUCGGAGUAAGUAAAGUGGCGAACGGGUGCGUAACACGUGAGUAUCUACCUCUUUGUGGAGAAUACCUUGGGGAAACCCAAGUUAAUUCUGCAUAAGUUCGAGAGAAGAAAGGCGGCCUCUUGCUGCCGCAAAGAGAUGAGCUCGCGGCCUAUUAGCUUGUUGGUGGGGUAAAGGCCUACCAAGGCAAUGAUGGGUAUCUGAUCUGAGAGGAUGGUCGGACACAUUGGGACUGAGAUACGGCCCAG